UAACCGGAGCUGAGGGUCUCUGGGUCCACCUCCCACCCGUGUUUAUCGUACCUUGUUGCUUCGGCGAGCCCGCCUCACGGCCGCCGGGGGGCAUCCGCCCCCGGGCCCGCGCUCGCCGAAGACACCAUUGAACUCUGUCUGAAGAUUGCAGUCUGAGUGAUUAACUAAAUCAGUUAAAACUUUCAACAACGGAUCUCUUGGUUCCGGCAUCGAUGAAGAACGCAGCGAAAUGCGAUAAGUAAUGUGAAUUGCAGAAUUCAGUGAAUCAUCGAGUCUUUGAACGCACAUUGCGCCCCCUGGUAUUCCGGGGGGCAUGCCUGUCCGAGCGUCAUUGCUGCCCUCAAGCACGGCUUGUGUGUUGGGCCCCGCCCCCCGGUUCCGGGGGGCGGACCCGAAAGGCAGCGGCGGCACCGCGUCCGGUCCUCGAGCGUAUGGGGCUUCGUCACCCGCUCUGUAGGCCCGGCCGGCGCCCGCCGGCGACCCCAAUCAAUCUAUCCAGGUUGACCUCGGAUCAGGUAGGGAUACCCGCUGAACUUAAGCAUAUCAAUAAAGGGGAGGAA
Molecule: ribosomal RNA, 560 nt
Filed under: Penicillium rolfsii
Lineage: Eukaryota; Fungi; Ascomycota; Eurotiomycetes; Eurotiales; Aspergillaceae
Description: eukaryotic LSU rRNA
Rfam family: 5.8S ribosomal RNA (bases 178-331)
Source: RNAcentral